RNAcentral lists this ribosomal RNA (492 nucleotides) under uncultured bacterium. RNAcentral's name for it is "partial 16S ribosomal RNA". It matches the Rfam family "Bacterial small subunit ribosomal RNA", at positions 29 to 507 of the family's 1533-position model. The record is from RNAcentral.
AGUGAACGCUGGCGGUAGGCCUAACACAUGCAAGUCGAACGGCAGCACAGUAAGAGCUUGCUCUUACGGGUGGCGAGUGGCGGACGGGUGAGGAAUGCAUCGGAAUCUACUUUUUCGUGGGGGAUAACGUAGGGAAACUUACGCUAAUACCGCAUACGACCUACGGGUGAAAGCAGGGGAUCUUCGGACCUUGCGCGAUUGAAUGAGCCGAUGUCGGAUUAGCUAGUUGGCGGGGUAAAGGCCCACCAAGGCGACGAUCCGUAGCUGGUCUGAGAGGAUGAUCAGCCACACUGGAACUGAGACACGGUCCAGACUCCUACGGGAGGCAGCAGUGGGGAAUAUUGGACAAUGGGCGCAAGCCUGAUCCAGCCAUACCGCGUGGGUGAAGAAGGCCUUCGGGUUGUAAAGCCCUUUUGUUGGGAAAGAAAAGCAGCAGGUUAAUACCCCGCUGUUCUGACGGUACCCAAAGAAUAAGCACCGGCUAACAUCGUG